CUACGGGAUGCUCCAGUGGAGGAUAUUGCACAAUGGGCGAAAGCCUGAUGCAGCAACGCCGCGUGAAGGAAGACGGUUUUCGGAUUGUAAACUUCUAUCAGCAGGGAAGAAAAUGACGGUACCUGACUAAGAAGCCCCGGCUAACUACGUGCCAGCAGCCGCGGUAAUACGUAGGGGGCAAGCGUUAUCCGGAAUUACUGGGUGUAAAGGGUACGUAGGCGGCUGAUCAAGUCAGAUGUGAAAGCCCGGGGCUCAACCCCGGGACUGCAUUUGAAACUGGUCGGCUAGAGUGCAGGAGAGGAAAGUGGAAUUCCUAGUGUAGCGGUGAAAUGCGUAGAUAUUAGGAAGAACACCAGUGGCGAAGGCGGCUUUCUGGACUGUAACUGACGCUGAGGUACGAAAGCGUGGGGAGCGAACAGGAUUAGAUACCCCUGUAGUC
RNAcentral lists this ribosomal RNA (439 nucleotides) under uncultured bacterium. RNAcentral's name for it is "partial 16S ribosomal RNA". It matches the Rfam family "Bacterial small subunit ribosomal RNA", at positions 339 to 795 of the family's 1533-position model. The record is from RNAcentral.